This 137-nucleotide ribosomal RNA is filed under the name Kryptolebias marmoratus (mangrove rivulus). RNAcentral's name for it is "5.8S ribosomal RNA (ENSKMAG00000008474.1)". It matches the Rfam family "5.8S ribosomal RNA". From Rfam's summary of the family: 5.8S ribosomal RNA (5.8S rRNA) is a component of the large subunit of the eukaryotic ribosome. It is transcribed by RNA polymerase I as part of the 45S precursor that also contains 18S and 28S rRNA. The record is from Rfam by way of RNAcentral. Lineage: Eukaryota; Metazoa; Chordata; Actinopteri; Cyprinodontiformes; Rivulidae.
AACUCUGUGGAUUACUUGGCUCGUGUGUCUUUGAAGAACGCAGCUAGCUGUGAGAACUAAUGGGAAUUGCAGGACACAUUGAUCAUUGAUCACUCCCACUGGGUGAGAUUAUGGAAAAUAAAACCUAAAAAGAGCCA